RNAcentral lists this ribosomal RNA (500 nucleotides) under uncultured bacterium. Its description in RNAcentral is "partial 16S ribosomal RNA". It matches the Rfam family "Bacterial small subunit ribosomal RNA", at positions 30 to 523 of the family's 1533-position model. The record is from RNAcentral.
AUUGAACGCUGGCGGCAUGCUUUACACAUGCAAGUCGAACGGCAGCACGGACUUCGGUCUGGUGGCGAGUGGCGAACGGGUGAGUAAUACAUCGGAACGUACCCAGUAAUGGGGGAUAACUAUCCGAAAGGAUAGCUAAUACCGCAUACGCCCUACGGGGGAAAGAGGGGGAUCGCAAGACCUCUUGUUAUUGGAGCGGCCGAUGGCUGAUUAGCUAGUUGGUGGGGUAAAGGCCUACCAAGGCAACGAUCAGUAGCGGGUCUUAGAGGACGAUCCGCCACACUGGAACUGAGACACGGUCCAGACUCCUACGGGAGGCAGCAGUGGGGAAUCUUGGACAAUGGGCGCAAGCCUGAUCCAGCAAUGCCGCGUGCGUGAAGAAGGCCUUCGGGUUGUAAAGCGCUUUUGUCAGGGAGCAAAUCCUUGUGGCUAAUACCCACCGGGGAUGAGAGUACCUGAAGAAUAAGGACCGGCUAACUACGUGCCAGCAGCCGCCGCAG